AUUGAACGCUGGCGGCAGGCCUAACACAUGCAAGUCGAGCGGAGCGGCGGACGGGUGAGUAAUGCCUAGGUAUCUGCCUGGUAGUGGGGGAUAACGUCCGGCUACGGGCGCUAAUACCGCCUAUUAUCAGUCGAGCCUAGGUGGGUUUAGCUAGUUGGUGGGGUAAAGGCCUACCAAGCAGACGAUCCGUCACUGGUCUGAGAGGAUGAUCAGUCACACUGGAACUGAGACACGGUCCAGACUCCUACGGGAGGCAGCAGUGGGGAAUAUUGGACAAUGGGCGAAAGCCUGAUCCAGCCAUGCCGCGUGUGUGAAGAAGGUCUUCGGAUUGUAAAGCACUUUAAGUUGGGAGGCGUUACCAACAGAAUAAGCACCGGCUAACUUCGUGCCAGCAGCCGCGGUAAUUC
RNAcentral lists this ribosomal RNA (407 nucleotides) under uncultured bacterium. RNAcentral describes it as "partial 16S ribosomal RNA". It matches the Rfam family "Bacterial small subunit ribosomal RNA", at positions 30 to 526 of the family's 1533-position model. The record is from RNAcentral.